GUAUACAAAUAAAUAAUGUAUAAAUCCUUAUCAGUUUUUUCUCUAAUGGGAGUUUUUGUUCACUUAAACAGGAGUUAACCCUGGAAUUGUGGCAUACAACCUAAUAAGCUGUUUAUCAUUAGUUUGUUACGCACAAGACAGCAUGGAUUUUAAAACAAUUUUGUUUUUAUCAUACUGGUAGCAACCUGCAUUUCUUCUCCACUUAUGCAAGAAGUUGGGAAAAGUGUGCACUUCAGUGUUUCAAUGAAAGAAGCUGUCUGUUUUGGUCUUGGAAUAUGGCAACUAAUGAUUGCUUAUUAAUGGAUACUUGUGAUUUAAAAAGGAGCCGUCAAUAUAUCUCUGGAACAUAUAAUUGUUUUGAGCAAGAAGAAACCAAUGUUUAAUAUGAAAUAUGUUGGAAGUUAUUUAAGGCAUGUAGAGCUAAAUAAUAAGAACCCUAAUUGGUUAAAAAAGUUCUUUAUUUGUUAAAUACACAACUUCAAAUAUA
Long non-coding RNA from Eurytemora carolleeae, 487 nucleotides. RefSeq lists it as uncharacterized. The transcript is spliced from 4 exons. The record is from RefSeq and is a predicted model, not a curated record. Lineage: Eukaryota; Metazoa; Arthropoda; Copepoda; Calanoida; Temoridae.